This 460-nucleotide ribosomal RNA is filed under the name uncultured bacterium. RNAcentral describes it as "partial 16S ribosomal RNA". It matches the Rfam family "Bacterial small subunit ribosomal RNA", at positions 338 to 795 of the family's 1533-position model. The record is from RNAcentral.
CCUACGGGUGGCAGCAGUGAGGAAUAUUGGUCAAUGGACGCAAGUCUGAACCAGCCAUGCCGCGUGCAGGAAGACGGCUCUAUGAGUUGUAAACUGCUUUUGUACGAGGGUAAACGCAGAUACGCGUAUCUGUCUGAAAGUAUCGUACGAAUAAGGAUCGACUAACUCCGUUCCAGCAGCCGCGGUAAUACGGAGGAUUCAAGCGUUAUCCGGAUUUAUUGGGUUUAAAGGGUGCGUAGGCGGGUGGAUAAGUUAGAGGUGAAAUCCCGAGGCUCAACCUCGGAACUGCAUUUGAUACUGUUCGGCUAGAGUGUAGUUGCGGUAGGCGGAAUGUAUGGUGUAGCGGUGAAAUGCUUAGAGAUCAUACAGAACACUGAUGGCGAAGGCAGCUUACCAAGCUACUUCUGACGUUGAGGCACGAAAGCGUGGGGAGCAAACAGGAUUAGAUACCCGGGUAGUC